Molecule: long non-coding RNA, 932 nt
Filed under: Spirodela polyrhiza (greater duckweed)
Lineage: Eukaryota; Viridiplantae; Streptophyta; Magnoliopsida; Alismatales; Araceae
Description: long non-coding RNA (SPOL_LNC002136)
Source: RNAcentral
GGGGGGUUGUGGGGAGGGGGAAUUGAGUUCCAAUUUCCACCUCAGUGCCAUGCACUCAUCCAUUCUAUCAAAGAUGCCAUUCCUGCUAAGGAAAUGCAGGCAAACUUCCGAGUGGUUUGCCUCUCGAUAGUGCCUUCCAUUUCAUCGGAGGAAUCGCCGGACCCCACUACGCUUUCUUCAUUAGCGUCUGCACAAUCUAUUUUCGGAGUCCAUUCGACAAACUGAUGUUUAGUCAAAGUUCGCCAAACCGAAGUAACAUAAUAUGACUAAAAUGGCUUGGAAACAUGGUAGCUGACGUAGACGCCAUCUCCAUCAAAGCCAGCGUUUGGAACACGGCGAAAGCACGCACGAAGAAACCUAAAAAAAAGAGGAGCACCAAUGGAGUUACUGCAAGGGAAAACUGGCUAGGCUACAACUAAACACACAGCAAGGCACCCUCAUCAUGACCGAUCGCCCAGUGUUCCGAGUGUCUCUCAGAACUGAGCCGUCAAUGUCUUUCCUGCUCACCUAGCACCAGACCCCUCGUCGAUCAAAUAAGCUGGGAAGGAAAACUUAUUCCGAGGAGGAGUCAUCUCUUCACCAUAGUACGCAUAAGGAAGAAUUGACGGACCCAUGGAACGGAACAAACGGAGACGCCCGCACCACGAUGAGGAUAAAUUAAAAGAGGAAAUCCGAAAGUACAAGCGGCGAAAACACGGCCCCGAGCCUGCAAUCUUGAGAGAUCACAGGAAGAACAACCCGGACGAGUCGACGCCGACUCUGGUACUCACCUUGCUUUGAUCAGUCCCUCCCGCCAAAAACACGAACUCCGCGGACUGUAGAGGAACGCUUGACUGGACUCCAAAGAACAGAGAUUCGGGUCGAAGGCUUAUCCCGGUGCGGGAUGAGGCCUAGGGUUUCGUCGGGCACGCGGCGGGAAACCGAAAGGCGGC